Molecule: long non-coding RNA, 155 nt
Organism: Maniola jurtina (meadow brown)
Lineage: Eukaryota; Metazoa; Arthropoda; Insecta; Lepidoptera; Nymphalidae
Exons: 4
Source: RefSeq, a predicted model, not a curated record
UAUGCAAUUUCGUCAGUUAUGACAUCACGACCACAUGAAGCAAUUUACAGCAAUACCCAGCAAUACCUGAAAAUUUCAGCAAUGCUAUGCGAAAUAAUUUCUCCAGAUUGUUCCAUUUAUUGCUUCAGAUUGAUCCAUACAUAAGUUGCCUGGUA